RNAcentral lists this long non-coding RNA (1047 nucleotides) under Struthio camelus australis. RNAcentral's name for it is "lncRNA (ENSSCUG00000002194.1)". The record is from RNAcentral. Lineage: Eukaryota; Metazoa; Chordata; Aves; Struthioniformes; Struthionidae.
CAUUAAUUAGGGGAGCUGGCUCAAGCCAAGUAAUUAGCAUAGCGAAGGGUCGCCAGAUACAUGGAGCAAGGAAUCUGUCCUUACAAAAAAUAUUUUCCGUAACUGAAACUGACGUGCUUCAUUUGCUGCACUGCACAAUCAGAUUAUCAGCAGCUCCCAGGUAUUCAGGCAGCCCUAGGUAUUUGUGAAUGUCUUUGUGAACUGUGAAUGUUUGACAAGGUGGAUACUGUUCUCUCUCAAAGCAGGUAUGCUAGUAGCUAUUUGUUAGCAUCUUUCGAAUGUUUCAAGCGCUGAGACUAGAGGAAGAAAUCCUACCUGAGAACAUCAAUGACCAGCGCUAUGUCAUGUAUGCACACUUGGUGUAAAAGAUAAAUGAGAUACAUGAAGAUACCUAAGAAGCCAACGUGUCUUGCAAGAAUAUGUUUGUUGCUCUUUUAUGCCAUUGGUAAACACGGUUGUUUGGAUCCCAGCUCUGUCUGUGUUGCUGCUUCAUAUUCCUGAUGGGGUGCGCACAGAGAGGGACCCCUGCACCACCCUGCGUGGAGCACAUCCUGCUGAGCGUGAGGUUCCAGCUCAUUUUAUCAGCACAAAGGGAACUAAGCUGCCUUCCUGUCUGAUAACUCAGCACACCAGGAAUAAAAGUCUCCUACCACAAUGGACACAUUCACCUCAUGGGUACCACAAGCCUCCAGAGCCAAAGCCAUUUUGCUACGGUUAUACCCAAGCACAUACAACCAGGAGAGCGGGGAUGCACCGGAGGUUUGUUACGUAUGGACUGGCUGCAUUUAUUUCUGGGAGCAGGCAAUUGCAGGAAGACUGGCCAUAAGAUGAGAUUUUGGGAUGCUGUGAUAGUUUCUGGCUGAGCAUGUAUAACUAAUUUAAUCUUAAAUCAAUUUACAAUAUAAAUAAUGAAGCAGCUGUUAAUGGGCCUCUGGCUGGGCAAGUGUCAAGCCAGACUGCACAACACGGAAAGAAUCAAGAGGAACAACUUGUCUGAUUACAUAAUUUUUUUGUAGAACAUAAAUAAAUUAUUCCCUCUUACUGGCA